This 363-nucleotide ribosomal RNA is filed under the name Bacillus thuringiensis. Its description in RNAcentral is "bacterial SSU rRNA". It matches the Rfam family "Bacterial small subunit ribosomal RNA", at positions 967 to 1331 of the family's 1533-position model. Lineage: Bacteria; Bacillati; Bacillota; Bacilli; Caryophanales; Bacillaceae. The record is from RNAcentral.
AACGUUACCAGGUCUUGACAUCCUCUGACAACCCUAGAGAUAGGGCUUCUCCUUCGGGAGCAGAGUGACAGGUGGUGCAUGGUUGUCGUCAGCUCGUGUCGUGAGAUGUUGGGUUAAGUCCCGCAACGAGCGCAACCCUUGAUCUUAGUUGCCAUCAUUUAGUUGGGCACUCUAAGGUGACUGCCGGUGACAAACCGGAGGAAGGUGGGGAUGACGUCAAAUCAUCAUGCCCCUUAUGACCUGGGCUACACACGUGCUACAAUGGACGGUACAAAGAGCUGCAAGACCGCGAGGUGGAGCUAAUCUCAUAAAACCGUUCUCAGUUCGGAUUGUAGGCUGCAACUCGCCUACAUGAAGCUGGAA